Molecule: non-coding RNA, 161 nt
Filed under: Pseudomonadota bacterium
Lineage: Bacteria; Pseudomonadati; Pseudomonadota
Description: 6S RNA
Rfam family: 6S / SsrS RNA
About the family: E. coli 6S RNA was the first non coding RNA to be sequenced, but its function was unknown until recently. It consists of 184 nucleotides that fold into an extended hairpin structure with a large single-stranded internal bulge. The 6S RNA specifically associates with RNA polymerase holoenzyme containing the sigma70 specificity factor.
Source: RNAcentral
GCGUUGCUGCCCGGUUUCGUGAGGAACUCUAAUUCCCAGGGCCUAUAAACGAUUAUCUCGGGAGCUGUCCCUGCAUCAGACCCUGGUCUGGAGCACACGGCGCCCACCUACGCAAGUAGGGACCAGGGAUCGUAAUGUUCCCACGGCCAGGGCGGCGCGCC